Molecule: ribosomal RNA, 800 nt
Filed under: uncultured bacterium
Lineage: Bacteria
Description: bacterial SSU rRNA
Rfam family: Bacterial small subunit ribosomal RNA
Source: RNAcentral
AGAGUUUGAUCAUGGCUCAGGAUGAACGCUGGCGGCGUGCCUAACACAUGCAAGUCGAACGAAGCAUUUACGGAUGAACCCUCCGGGGGGAUUUUGUUUAUGACUGAGUGGCGGACGGGUGAGUAACGCGUGGGGAACCUGCCUCUGCCAGGGGGAUAACAGUUAGAAAUGACUGCUAAUACCGCAUAAGCGCACAGAACCGCAUGGUUCCGUGUGAAAAGCCGAGACGGACAGAGAUGGACCUGCGUCUGAUUAGGUAGUUGGUGAGGUAACGGCCCACCAAGCCGACGAUCAGUAGCCGACCUGAGAGGGUGACCGGCCACAUUGGGACUGAGACACGGCCCAAACUCCUACGGGAGGCAGCAGUGGGGAAUAUUGCACAAUGGGGGAAACCCUGAUGCAGCGACGCCGCGUGAAGGAAGAAGUAUUUCGGUACGUAAACUUCUAUCAGCAGGGAAGAAAUGACGGUACCUGAGUAAGAAGCUCCGGCUAAAUACGUGCCAGCAGCCGCGGUAAUACGUAUGGAGCAAGCGUUAUCCGGAUUUACUGGGUGUAAAGGGAGCGUAGGCGGCGAUGCAAGUCAGAGGUGAAAGCCCGGGGCUCAACUCCGGGACUGCCUUUGAAACUGUAUGGCUGGAUUGCAGGAGAGGUAAGUGGAAUUCCUAGUGUAGCGGUGAAAUGCGUAGAUAUUAGGAGGAACACCAGUGGCGAAGGCGGCUUACUGGACUGUAAAUGACGCUGAGGCUCGAAAGCGUGGGGAGCAAACAGGAUUAGAUACCCUGGUAGUCCACGCGGUAAAC